UGGGGAAUAUUGCGCAAUGGGCGAAAGCCUGACGCAGCAACGCCGCGUGAAGGAUGAAGGGCUCCGGCUCGUAAACUUCUAUCGAUGGGGACGAAAAAAAUGACGGUACCCAAGUAAGAAGCCCCGGCUAACUACGUGCCAGCAGCCGCGGUAAUACGUAGGGGGCAAGCGUUAUCCGGAAUUACUGGGUGUAAAGGGUGAGUAGGCGGUCUUUUAAGUCAUAUGUGAAAUCCCCGAGCUUAACUCGGGAACUGCAUAAGAAACUGGAAGGCUAGAGUACAGGAGAGGCAAGUGGAAUUCCUAGUGUAGCGGUGAAAUGCGUAGAUAUUAGGAAGAACACCGGUGGCGAAGGCGACUUGCUGGACUGUAACUGACGCUGAGUCACGAAAGCGUGGGGAGCGAACA
This 405-nucleotide ribosomal RNA is filed under the name uncultured Eubacteriales bacterium. Its description in RNAcentral is "uncultured Clostridiales bacterium partial 16S ribosomal RNA". It matches the Rfam family "Bacterial small subunit ribosomal RNA", at positions 355 to 774 of the family's 1533-position model. Lineage: Bacteria; Bacillati; Bacillota; Clostridia; Eubacteriales. The record is from RNAcentral.